AGUAAAAGUCGUAACAAGGUCUCCGUUGGUGAACCAGCGGAGGGAUCAUUACAGAGUUGCAAAACUCCCACAAACCAUCGCGAAUCUUACCCGUACGGUUGCCUCGGCGCUGGCGGUCCGGAAAGGCCUUCGGGCCCUCCCGGAUCCUCGGGUCUCCCGCUCGCGGGAGGCUGCCCGCCGGAGUGCCGAAACUAAACUCUUGAUAUUUUAUGUCUCUCUGAGUAAACUUUUAAAUAAGUCAAAACUUUCAACAACGGAUCUCUUGGUUCUGGCAUCGAUGAAGAACGCAGCGAAAUGCGAUAAGUAAUGUGAAUUGCAGAAUUCAGUGAAUCAUCGAAUCUUUGAACGCACAUUGCGCUCGCCAGUAUUCUGGCGAGCAUGCCUGUUCGAGCGUCAUUUCAACCAUCAAGCUCUGCUUGCGUUGGGGAUCCGCGGCUGUCCGCGGUCCCUCAAAAUCAGUGGCGGGCUCGCUAGUCACACCGAGCGUAGUAACUCUACAUCGCUAUGGUCGUGCGGCGGGUUCUUGCCGUAAAACCCCCCAUUUCUAAGGUUGACCUCGGAUCAGGUAGGAAUACCCGCUGAACUUAAGCAUAUCAAUAAGCGGAGGA
RNAcentral lists this ribosomal RNA (608 nucleotides) under uncultured fungus. RNAcentral's name for it is "eukaryotic LSU rRNA". The stretch from base 243 to 396 matches the Rfam family "5.8S ribosomal RNA". Lineage: Eukaryota; Fungi. The record is from RNAcentral.